This 445-nucleotide ribosomal RNA is filed under the name uncultured bacterium. RNAcentral's name for it is "partial 16S ribosomal RNA". It matches the Rfam family "Bacterial small subunit ribosomal RNA", at positions 354 to 796 of the family's 1533-position model. The record is from RNAcentral.
GUGAGGAAUAUUGGUCAAUGGGCGAGAGCCUGAACCAGCCAAGUCGCGUGAAGGAAGAAGGAUCUAUGGUUCGUAAACUUCUUUUGCAGGGGAAUAAAGUGCAGGACGUGUCCUGUUUUGUAUGUACCCUGAGAAUAAGGAUCGGCUAACUCCGUGCCAGCAGCCGCGGUAAUACGGAGGAUCCGAGCGUUAUCCGGAUUUAUUGGGUUUAAAGGGUGCGUAGGUGGUUUGAUAAGUCAGCGGUGAAAGUUUGCAGCUUAACUGUAAAAAUGCCGUUGAAACUGGCGGACUUGAGUGUAAAUGAGGUAGGCGGAAUGCGUGGUGUAGCGGUGAAAUGCAUAGAUAUCACGCAGAACUCCGAUUGCGAAGGCAGCUUACUAAGCUACAACUGACACUGAAGCACGAAAGCGUGGGGAUCAAACAGGAUUAGAUACCCGUGUAGUCC